RNAcentral lists this ribosomal RNA (780 nucleotides) under uncultured Neocallimastigales. Its description in RNAcentral is "partial large subunit ribosomal RNA". It matches the Rfam family "Eukaryotic large subunit ribosomal RNA", at positions 23 to 638 of the family's 3401-position model. The record is from RNAcentral. Lineage: Eukaryota; Fungi; Neocallimastigomycota; Neocallimastigomycetes; Neocallimastigales.
GAGACUCUGUGCGCGUGCAUAUCAAUAAGCGGAGGAAAAGAAACUAACAAGGAUUCCCCUUAGUAACGGCGAGUGAAGCGGGAAGAGCUCAAAUUUGAAAUCUUAAAGGGUUUCCCUUUACGAAUUGUAGUUUAAAGAAGUGUUUUCUGUUGGAGUUUCGGUAAAAGUUCUUUGGAAUAGGACAUCAUAGAGGGUGAGAAUCCCGUAUUUGACCGUUACUUUCCAGCUGUGUGAUACACUUUCAAAGAGUCGGAUUGUUUGGGAAUGCAGUCCAAGAUGGGUGGUAAAUUUCAUCUAAAGCUAAAUAUUGGCGAGAGACCGAUAGCGAACAAGUACCGUGAGGGAAAGAUGAAAAGAACUUUGAAAAGAGAGUUAAACAGUACGUGAAAUUGUCAAAAGGGAAGCGUUUGACACCAGUGUUGUUUAGUUGAAAAUCAAUUCAAUAAUUUUUGAUUCUAAGUAGUAUUGACUUCAUCAGCUUGCUGCUUUCUUCUCAGGAAUUAUUGAAUGCACUUUUCAGUUAACAAGUCAACAUCAAUUUCUUUUGUUGUAAAAGGGUAAGAGGAAGGUGGCUUACGCUUCGGCGUCAAGUGUUUAUAGCCUUUUAUCUCUGCAAUCGGAGAGAUUGAGGUACAUGCAGCGUAGACUCCUUCGGGGUUAGAUACACUUGUGCUAAGCUAUAGCCUUGUAUAGACAACUUGUUGACUAUGCUCAGUCAUGUAGCUUACUCGCUGAUGCUAUUUUACCUACGCUUAGGAUGUUGACAGCAGUAUAGACUGU